GAUGAACGCUGGCGGCGUGCCUAAUACAUGCAAGUCGAGCGAACAGACAAGGAGCUUGCUCCUCUAACGUUAGCGGCGGACGGGUGAGUAACACGUGGAUAACCUACCUAUAAGACUGGGAUAACUUCGGGAAACCGGAGCUAAUACCGGAUAAUAUAUUGAACCGCAUGGUUCAAUAGUGAAAGACGGUUUUGCUGUCACUUAUAGAUGGAUCCGCGCCGCAUUAGCUAGUUGGUAAGGUAACGGCUUACCAAGGCAACGAUGCGUAGCCGACCUGAGAGGGUGAUCGGCCACACUGGAACUGAGACACGGUCCAGACUCCUACGGGAGGCAGCAGUAGGGAAUCUUCCGCAAUGGGCGAAAGCUUGACGGAGCAACGCCGCGUGAGUGAUGAAGGUCUUCGGAUCGUAAAACUCUGUUAUUAGGGAAGAACAAAUGUGUAAGUAACUAUGCACGUCUUGACGGUACCUAAUCAGAAAGCCACGGCUAACUACGUG
RNAcentral lists this ribosomal RNA (497 nucleotides) under uncultured bacterium. RNAcentral describes it as "partial 16S ribosomal RNA". It matches the Rfam family "Bacterial small subunit ribosomal RNA", at positions 28 to 507 of the family's 1533-position model. The record is from RNAcentral.